UGCCUAAACUGUCUGAAAUUAUCAGCAGCAUGGCAUAAAAUCCCAAAGCACAUAAAAACCCCGUCAUUCAGGGCCCGUGCUUUGGGUUAUAGAGGGAAACCUCUGUAAGGACUUCGGUCCU
RNAcentral lists this small RNA (121 nucleotides) under unclassified sequences. RNAcentral's name for it is "LOOT RNA". It matches the Rfam family "LOOT RNA". Rfam says of the family: Latescibacteria, OD1/Parcubacteria, OP11, TM7. Lineage (Microgenomates, aka OP11) The record is from Rfam by way of RNAcentral.